CGGAAUGGCGCAGCUACCAUGCAAGUCGAACGUGAUCCGCCCUUCGGGGUGGUGAAAGUGGCGCACGGGUGAGUAACGCGUGGAUAAUCUGCCCGAGGAUUUGGGAUAACAUCUCGAAAGGGGUGCUAAUACCGAAUAAGCCCACGGGGUCUACGGAUCUUGCGGGAAAAGGGGGGGACCUUCGGGCCUCCUGUCCUUGGAUGAGUCUGCGUACCAUUAGCUAGUUGGUGGGGUAAUGGCCUACCAAGGCGACGAUGGUUAGCUGGUCUGAGAGGAUGAUCAGCCACACUGGAACUGAGACACGGUCCAGACUCCUACGGGAGGCAGCAGUGGGGAAUUUUGCGCAAUGGGGGAAACCCUGACGCAGCAACGCCGCGUGGGUGAUGAAGGCCUUCGGGUCGUAAAGCUCUGUCUGGAGGGAAGAAAUGAUUGGGAGCUAAUACCUCUUGAUCUUGACGGUACCUCUGAAGGAAGCACCGGCUAACUCCGUGCCAGCAGCCGCGGUAAUACGGAGGGUGCAAGCGUUGUUCGGAAUUAUUGGGCGUAAAGCGCGUGUAGGCGGUCUUUUAAGUCUGAUGUGAAAGCCCCGGGCUCAACCUGGGAAGUGCAUUGGAAACUGGGAGGCUUGAGUACGGGAGAGGAGAGUGGAAUUCCUAGUGUAGGAGUGAAAUCCGUAGAUAUUAGGAGGAACACCGGUGGCGAAGGCGGCUCUCUGGACCGAUACUGACGCUGAGACGCGAAAGCGUGGGUAGCAAACAGGAUUAGAUACCCUGGUAGUCCACGCCGUAAACGAUGAGUACUAGGUGUUGCGGGUAUUGAC
RNAcentral lists this ribosomal RNA (820 nucleotides) under uncultured Geobacter sp. RNAcentral describes it as "bacterial SSU rRNA". It matches the Rfam family "Bacterial small subunit ribosomal RNA", at positions 40 to 836 of the family's 1533-position model. Lineage: Bacteria; Pseudomonadati; Thermodesulfobacteriota; Desulfuromonadia; Geobacterales; Geobacteraceae. The record is from RNAcentral.